AGUGAACGCUGGCGGCAGGCCUAACACAUGCAAGUCGAGCGGCAGCGGGUUCCCGCGAGGGGAUGCCGGCGAGCGGCGGACGGGUGAGGAACACAUCGGAAUCUGCCUGGUUGUGGGGGAUAACGUAGGGAAACUUACGCUAAUACCGCAUGCGACCCUGAGUCGACGGACUUGGGGUGAAAGUGAGGGACCUUCGGGCCUCACGCGACCAGAUGAGCCGAUGUCGGAUUAGCUAGUUGGCGGGGUAACGGCCCGCCAAGGCGACGAUCCGUAGCUGGGUCUGAGAGGAUGAUCAGCCACACUGGGACUGAGACACGGCCCAGACUCCUACGGGAGGCAGCAGUCGAGAAUCUUCCGCAAUGCGCGCAAGCGUGACGG
RNAcentral lists this ribosomal RNA (378 nucleotides) under uncultured bacterium. RNAcentral's name for it is "bacterial SSU rRNA". It matches the Rfam family "Bacterial small subunit ribosomal RNA", at positions 30 to 389 of the family's 1533-position model. The record is from RNAcentral.